Panicum virgatum (switchgrass) is the source of this 2723-nucleotide RNA transcript. It is a transcript of the gene named proteasome activator subunit 4-like, with no coding region annotated. Lineage: Eukaryota; Viridiplantae; Streptophyta; Magnoliopsida; Poales; Poaceae. The transcript is spliced from 5 exons. The record is from RefSeq and is a predicted model, not a curated record.
CGCCUGCGCGUUCCCGCCCUGGGUUACCCGCUCCCCUCCAUUUCCUUAUCUGCAGCGCCCCUCUCGAUCCUCUCCCCGAUUCCCUUUCCAUCCGCCGCCGUGACGGUGUGCUCCUCGCCGCCGCUGCGCCCGGCGAGGAUGCCCCUGCGCCGCGCCGUGCGGGACCUCUGCGUCAUCGCGGGGAUAUGACGGACGAUUUCCAUUGGCUUUGAGGUCUUCGACCCGCCGCGCCGUGCCCUCAGUCUCGUCGGGUUCCCGCCGCAGCGGGUGUGGGAGGCCUCGCUGCCGCAGCGGCCAGCGGACGCGGCUGAACGGAUGCGCAGGGGCGUGGCCGGCUUCCCCAGCCAGCCUUCCCGCCGGCUCCUCCCUCCACGGUUGCUUCCCUGUCGCGCGCCCUUUCCUCCCUCCCCUCCCGAUCCCUCACGUGCGGCCGCUGCCGUCGUCGCCGUCUUCGUCACGUUCGACCUGCCCCCACCACGGAUCCACACACGCAGUGCGCGAGUACCUCCUGCGCACCCUCGCUGUUUCCUGCGACGCGUCCUCCCCUGAGACGGACGAGCAGAUGGGAUCGACGACGACCGGAUGGUCGCAGUGUUGGCAUCGGCGAGCAGGGCAAGCAUGGCUCCACUGGUGACGGAAGGAAUGGUGGUGUAUCCUAAGCAAUGGUUCCCUUGGCGGGAUGCACAACCACGUCAGAGCAACAGCCAGCACGCCGGCGCGCUGUUCACCACCAGCUGCUGCAACCCAUUAGCCGUCCAUGUCUGUGCUGGUAACCUGUUCGAACCUGGCCACGGUGAGUGGCGCCUUGACUGGGGAUGCCACGGCGAGGGCAGCGGCGUCGACCUGGCGCGCCGGACGUGCUGCGGGCAUGCGGGUUCCUGCAUGGCGCGGUGUUGGAGCUGGUGAUGCGGUCAUGUGCAGGGACGUGGCGCCGCAGAGCUGGGCCACCACGCGCGCUACUGCUGCUCACUGGGACACCGGGAUCGGUCGCGACGCAGCACUCGGGGGCUUCAUGGGCAAGACGAUAACCGGGGCGGACCACAAGUUCGACUAGCUCUCCGACAUGGCCACUGCGCUGCUCAACACCAUCGCCGACGGGAGUUAGCCGGCUGGCAAGGCGCCCGCCCUGCCAUUGGAUGUAUUUAUUAGUAAAUACCUGUUGCAUAUAUUAGUAAAAUUAUCGUAGUUUCCCUGCUGCUUGUGGUCCAACGUUCUUCCAUAGGAUGUUAGUCGCUAACCAAUAUUCUUUUUAUUCUUCAGAGUGGUUUUGACUUAUCGAACCAAUGUAGGUCGAUUUGUUGAUUAAAUUUAUUAAGAUGCAUCCGUGAUUUUAAUCUGAGUUGUAAUCCUCUUGUUUUAAUCUGAGUAGUCUCAAAGGUUUUUAUUGAAAUGCAUCUAUGAUUUUGGAGAUAAAUAAAGAUCAUGAACAUACAUAAAAAAUCUAACGAAAUGUAUGGCUUUUAUUUUGCAUAUUGGAGGUGGUACCUAAUUGGUUAAGGCUAAUAUUGUUGGUUAGUGUAUGGCUACAAUGCAGUUAAUUGGUUCCAUAUUUUCAAAUGUAAGUCUUGUCUUUUACCUUUUCUUUUGCAAUGCUGAUUUGUGGUAAAGAGUACUGUUCCAUAUUUAAAUGUUUCUACACUUCCUUGUCCAGUAAAUAUGAAUUUCCAAUCGUGCACACGUUUCCUUCAUUUGCAAUUGACAGUCCCUGAAGAGAAUUGCCAAGUUUGUUAAUGCAAAUAUCCUCCCUGGUGCUACUUCCGAAGUUGGGCUUCUUUGUUGUGCCUGCGUUCAUUCAUAUUUGGUUUCCUAUUAUCCAAUAGAUCAGUACAAGUAUGUUUACGACUUUGUUCACCAGAUGGUUUCCUCAUCUGAUCUAUAAAUCGUUUACCCAAGAACCUUAUAUUAUCCUGUUUUUUUUAUUUUUUGUAGGCCAUUCACUUGUCAGCCUGGUAAUAUUAUUAAACCAUGGGGCUGUUCAAAAGCUCAUCAGGGUAGGGAGGUUGAAAUGCUUAAUUUCUGUCCAAAGUGGCAUGAUCCCAGUCAAGAUGAACUUUCUUGUGCAAACGAAUUACUACAAUUUCAUUUGCAGUCAGCUUUAGAUGAUCUUUUGACUAUUUGUCAGACAAAACUUCAUUCUAAGACAGGAGAUGAGAAGGAGCACCUAAAAGUAACUAACACAUCUUCUCUGCAGUGCAUGGUGUUGCCAGAAAUGCGCCCAUCAUAUAAAGAUGAGAGGUCGAAGGAAGUGGAGCCCAUAUACUUCAUAGCAGGAUCUGCUGGUAGCACUGUUGGCAGCUCAGAAAUGCGUGAAAAGUCUGCAGAAUUUGUGCACAUAGCUUGCAGGUUAUGGCUGACAAUAUAUAAUGGCUCAUGGUCGCUGUGGAGAAGAUCGGUGGGAAGGUACUCAAGGUCUGCGUCAGCAACCCGGACCUCUUCGCGCUUGACAGCUCCCGGCUCGACGUCGACAUUGGCUACCACAUCAAAUAUAUGACUAUGCACGUGGAUGCUUACGGAGGGAAUUCAUUUCACCCGUAUCAACGCACGGGUACAAGUUUAAGAAGCAUUAUAUACUUGAUAUAGAGUGAUUGCUACAGUAUCGAUAAACAAGGUUAAUUUCUUUAGUAGUCAUUUCUUGUAAUGAAAUUAUUUUAUAAAUACAUUUUUCUAUGACACGUGCCACACAUCUCCACUACCUGUAUAAUUAUCUGUCUAAUUAUCACACA